RNAcentral lists this ribosomal RNA (551 nucleotides) under uncultured Glomeromycotina. Its description in RNAcentral is "SSU rRNA". It matches the Rfam family "Eukaryotic small subunit ribosomal RNA", at positions 548 to 1098 of the family's 1831-position model. Lineage: Eukaryota; Fungi; Glomeromycota. The record is from RNAcentral.
UUGGAGGGCAAGUCUGGUGCCAGCAGCCGCGGUAAUUCCAGCUCCAAUAGCGUAUAUUAAAGUUGUUGCAGUUAAAAAGCUCGUAGUUGAAUUUCGGAAUCUGUCCAUCGGUCGGGCUUCACUGUCCGUACUGGUGUGGUGGGUUCUUACCUUCUGAAUAACCAGCAUGCCAUUCACUUGGUGCGCUGGGGAAGCAGGACUAUUACCUUGAAAAAAUUAGAGUGCUCAAAGCAGGCUAGUGCCUGAAUACAUUAGCAUGGAAUAAUAAAAUAGGACGGCAUGGUUCUAUUUUGUUGGUUUCUAGGAUCACCGUAAUGAUUAAUAGGGAUAGUUGGGGGCAUUAGUAUUCAAUUGUCAGAGGUGAAAUUCUUGGAUUUAUUGAAGACUAACUUCUGCGAAAGCAUUUGCCAAGGAUGUUUUCAUUAAUCAAGAACGAAAGUUAGGGGAUCGAAGACGAUCAGAUACCGUCGUAGUCUUAACCAUAAACUAUGCCGACUAGGGAUCGGACGAUGUUAAUUUUUUAAUGACUCGUUCGGCGCCUUACGGGAAAC